Pyrus x bretschneideri (Chinese white pear) is the source of this 640-nucleotide long non-coding RNA. RefSeq lists it as uncharacterized. The transcript has 2 exons. The record is from RefSeq and is a predicted model, not a curated record. Lineage: Eukaryota; Viridiplantae; Streptophyta; Magnoliopsida; Rosales; Rosaceae.
GGAAAAAUGAGAGUACUAUAGAAGGCUGCUGCAAAAGGCUGCCUUGAUCAUUAGUUGGUGAUGUUUGGGAGAUUGAGAGUAGGAUAGGAUAAUUUGUUCAUCUGCGCUGGCACUGACUUCUAUCCAUUUUGAGAGGAAAGCAGAUUUGGGUUCCAACUAAUCCUCGAGGGACUGAAAGCCUAGCGCCUGGUAUCAUUGCAUCUGAGUCGGAUUUCUAUCUUCGACGACUAUGAGGUCUGCCCAGUGAGGUGUGCAUCUACUACUCUUAACUUUAGUAUGAAUAACACGUCCUGUUUUGUUUAAGAAUUGGAUUAUUUUUUCAAACCUGUUCACUAAUCUUAGCCUUUUCUUUUUGAGGUGGAACUUGUAGGACUUACUUGUCAAGCCAAAGUAUCUUGUAACCUUUACCCUAGGUUGUGCUCAGAAAAAUAACGUUGAUGCAGCAGUUAAAUGGGUCAGUUCUCUCAACAAUAGCGAAGUUCACUUGUAAGAUUGGCAUGACAUGUUUAAGCUCUUUGGAAACAAAGUGUUCAAACACUUUUCAAAGUUUGAGUCCCAACAUUUGUUCAAAAUUGUAUAAAAGAUAAGUUAUGCAAAUUUGUAGUAUAUUCUUAUAUCAAAGAUAUUACAAUUUGUUUCC